GACGAACCGUGCGAACGUUGUUCGGAAUCACUGUGCUUAAAGGGCGCGUAGGCGGGCUGCCAAGUUUGGGGUGAAAUCCUCCGGCUCAACCGGAGAACGGCUUCAAAUACUGGCGGUCUCGAGGGGGGUAGGGGCAUGCGGAACUAUGCGUGGAGCGGUGAAAUGCGUUGAUAUGCAUAGGAACUCCGGUGGCGAAGGCGGCGUGCUGGACCCUUUCUGACGCUGAGGCGCGAAAGCCAGGGGAGCAAACGGG
This 253-nucleotide ribosomal RNA is filed under the name uncultured bacterium. RNAcentral describes it as "partial 16S ribosomal RNA". It matches the Rfam family "Bacterial small subunit ribosomal RNA", at positions 524 to 776 of the family's 1533-position model. The record is from RNAcentral.